UACGGAAUGCACAACCAACCAACUAGGUCAAUAGAUACAGAAUGCAACAACAGACCAACUAGGUCAACAGAUACGCAUGUAGAUAGAACUACUCUACUCCUACUCAGGAUACUAAGCAUGCAAACAACGAGUAGAGUAUAACGAAUAAACAAGGGUGCAGGCUCAAUAUACUAUGCGAUAGUAACAACAGAAGAGUAAGGGUAAGAAACCGUCACCAAGCGUGCACCACUGUACCGACGUCGGAUCGAAGUACCCACCUGUACGGAUGUCGCGUCUGUCUCCUGACUGCAAAAGAAUGUCGACAGGACCUAUAGAGGGUCCACCGGGUUAGUAUCUAACCCACAACUAAUAAUCACAGUAUCCACCACCUCACAAACGAUUCCACAAAGAUCGGUUUCCCAAUACCGAUUACCGUAACUCGCCGGAAGUCCCGAAAACCACACCGGGACGCCGUCGGGACCCACCAAGUGUCCCGAACUCACCGACUCAUACCACGAGUCACCCGCUGCCCCAAAACAUUCCAAUUUGGAUGCCUUGGCAGCGAACGCAAGGUCACACAGCAAUACGAUCAUCGCCGGAUAAUCGUACGAAUCCGGGUUCCCGGAAGUGUCUAUUUCGACACCGGAACCCUCCGUCGCUCACCUAUCAUCAUCG
This 654-nucleotide long non-coding RNA is filed under the name Ananas comosus (pineapple). RNAcentral's name for it is "long non-coding RNA (ACOM_LNC034630)". The record is from RNAcentral. Lineage: Eukaryota; Viridiplantae; Streptophyta; Magnoliopsida; Poales; Bromeliaceae.